UCCACGAUACCAUUUCUUUAAGCUGAAUAAUACUAAAUAAUAAUACAUUCGAACUUAAUUUACAUACAUCAAAGUUUACUUCCUCAGGUACGUGACCUUCAAAUACAUUCCUUACAAUACCUGACAAUAGAUUCCAUUGUCUUACUAACUAUAACCAUUAACUCAUACUAAAAACUCAUUCGAACAGCUUUCCUUUCCCCUUGUUCGUGCCUGAGCCUUCAGGUUGCUCAUACAUAACUGAAAACAUUUAAUUUAAGC
RNAcentral lists this long non-coding RNA (258 nucleotides) under Panax ginseng (ginseng). RNAcentral describes it as "long non-coding RNA (PGIN_LNC016060)". Lineage: Eukaryota; Viridiplantae; Streptophyta; Magnoliopsida; Apiales; Araliaceae. The record is from RNAcentral.